UACGAGUGCUUCGAGCGUUAUCCGGAAUCAUUGGGCGUAAAGGGUGCGUAGGCGGCGAUGUUAGUCUUGUGUAAAAUCUUUCGGCUCAACCGAGAGUCUGCACGGGAAACGGCAUUGCUUGAGGACGGAAGAGGUCUCUGGAACUCAUGGUGUAGCGGUGAAAUGCGUUGAUAUCAUGGGGAACACCAAAAGCGAAGGCAAGAGACUGGUCCGCUCCUGACGCUGAAGCACGAAAGCGUGGGUCGCGAAUGGG
This 253-nucleotide ribosomal RNA is filed under the name uncultured bacterium. Its description in RNAcentral is "partial 16S ribosomal RNA". It matches the Rfam family "Bacterial small subunit ribosomal RNA", at positions 524 to 776 of the family's 1533-position model. The record is from RNAcentral.